This 497-nucleotide ribosomal RNA is filed under the name uncultured bacterium. RNAcentral's name for it is "partial 16S ribosomal RNA". It matches the Rfam family "Bacterial small subunit ribosomal RNA", at positions 28 to 507 of the family's 1533-position model. The record is from RNAcentral.
GAUGAACGCUGGCGGCGUGCCUAAUACAUGCAAGUCGAGCGAACGGACGAGAAGCUUGCUUCUCUGAUGUUAGCGGCGGACGGGUGAGUGACACGUGGAUAACCUACCUAUAAGACUGGGAUAACUUCGGGAAACCGGAGCUAAUACCGGAUGAUAUUUUGAACCGCAUGGUUCAAAAGUGAAAGACGGUCUUGCUGUCACUUAUAGAUGGAUCCGCGCUUCAUUAGCUAGUUGGUAAGGUAACGGCUUACCAAGGCAACGAUGCAUAGCCGACCUGAGAGGGUGAUCGGCCACACUGGAACUGAGACACGGUCCAGACUCCUACGGGAGGCAGCAGUAGGGAAUCUUCCGCAAUGGGCGAAAGCCUGACGGAGCAACGCCGCGUGAGUGAUGAAGGUCUUCGGAUCGUAAAACUCUGUUAUUAGGGAAGAACAUAUGUGUAAGUAACUGUGCACAUCUUGACGGUACCUAAUCAGAAAGCCACGGCUAACUACGUG